UGCCCUUUGCCCUAUGUCCCUGCCCC
RNAcentral lists this non-coding RNA (26 nucleotides) under Homo sapiens (human). Lineage: Eukaryota; Metazoa; Chordata; Mammalia; Primates; Hominidae. The record is from RNAcentral.